Molecule: ribosomal RNA, 425 nt
Filed under: uncultured bacterium
Lineage: Bacteria
Description: bacterial SSU rRNA
Rfam family: Bacterial small subunit ribosomal RNA
Source: RNAcentral
GAUGAACGCUGGCGGCGCGCCUAACACAUGCAAGUCGAACGGCACCCCUCUCCGGAGGGAAGCGAGUGGCGAACGGCUGAGUAACACGUGGAGAACCUGCCCCCUCCCCCGGGAUAGCCGCCCGAAAGGACGGGUAAUACCGGAUACCCCGGGGUGCCGCAUGGCACCCCGGCUAAAGCCCCGACGGGGGGGAUGGCUCCGCGGCCCAUCAGGUAGACGGCGGGGUGACGGCCCACCGUGCCGACAACGGGUAGCCGGGUUGAGAGACCGACCGGCCAGAUUGGGACUGAGACACGGCCCAGACUCCUACGGGAGGCAGCAGUGGGGAAUCUUGCGCAAUGGGGGGAACCCUGACGCAGCGACGCCGCGUGCGGGACGGAGGCCUUCGGGUCGUAAACCGCUUUCAGCAGGGAAGAGUCAAGACU